RNAcentral lists this long non-coding RNA (700 nucleotides) under Gopherus agassizii (Agassiz's desert tortoise). RNAcentral's name for it is "lncRNA (ENSGAGG00000011876.1)". The record is from RNAcentral. Lineage: Eukaryota; Metazoa; Chordata; Testudines; Testudinidae.
CUUCAAGACCUUAAUGUGGGUUUCCACUCUUCCUCCUAACAAUUUCACCAUGCCUGGGAUUAGGAGUGAGGGAAGCCUACAACACGUGCAGAAAGGGGAUACUACAUCCGUGGAUGUUUCACCCCAGCCUUAGCCAGCUGGCUUGCCCAGCGUGCAGGCUGCCUGGUGGAUGAAGAGUAACUGAUCGCACUCUUAUCAGCCCUCCUUGUUUUUUCCAGUGGAAAGCACAGACCCUUUCCAUUUUUGCUGUUGCGUUGGCGAGAAGAAACCAUUUGCGAGGUUUCCCAGCUGAGCUCUGCCGGAGUGGAUGAUUCCACAGCCAUUCUAAUGAGGGGGGAGGAAACACAGCCCAUUGGCCAGCUGCUCGUGUGUCUGUGAAGUCAAGACUUCAUGCCACAGAAAAACAGAGCAGCAAAUCUGCAGCAUGUAGUGUUCUCGGAGCAAGGAAGCUGCCGAUUCAUUUGCAAGUGGGCUGGAACAUACCUGGAGAGCUGUAAUUUCUCCUCUUCCAUGCUUUGCUCAAGGUAUGCAUUAUUAUGUAAUAGUUACAUGUGAAAAGAAACCAGAGUCGCUGGUGGAGAAUCCUGACUGUUUCCACUGGGCCUGAAUAGUUCAGCCAGUUGAUUAAAGUGAGUACACUGCAAAGGGUGGGGGAGAUUAAUGCAGAAUAGGCUUGCCAUCUCUGAGAUACAAAAAAAUG